UAUUAUUAUUCUUUAGGCUUAGUUGAAAGAAAUGGAAGGGGAGGAGCCUACACCCUGAAACUGGUAAUGAUAACCCCCCCAAUGAACACUAAUCCUUUAGCUGGUUCUGCUACACCAGCAGUAAAUGAACUUGAGGGACAGAGUGACAAAACAAUUGGAGAGGAAGAAAGGGUGAACAUAAGGCAAAAUGCAACCAUUGUCGUAAAGUAUACAACUGCCACCCAAAUAAACAUGGUACAAACUCUAUGAACAAACAUUUGCGUAGGGUUCACCCGUCUUUUUUUAGUAAAGUGGGGAAGAAGGGGACACUUCAUGGGUAUAUGCCAAAAAUUAAUGAAGAAUAU
RNAcentral lists this long non-coding RNA (344 nucleotides) under Lotus japonicus. RNAcentral describes it as "long non-coding RNA (LJAP_LNC000224)". Lineage: Eukaryota; Viridiplantae; Streptophyta; Magnoliopsida; Fabales; Fabaceae. The record is from RNAcentral.